CCUACGGGAGGCAGCAGUGGGGAAUCUUCCGCAAUGGACGAAAGUCUGACGGAGCAACGCCGCGUGAGUGAUGAAGGUCUUCGGAUUGUAAAGCUCUGUUAAUCGGGACGAAAGGCCUUCUUGCGAAUAGUGAGAAGGAUUGACGGUACCGGAAUAGAAAGCCACGGCUAACUACGUGCCAGCAGCCGCGGUAAUACGUAGGUGGCAAGCGUUGUCCGGAAUUAUUGGGCGUAAAGCGCGCGCAGGCGGAUAGGUCAGUCUGUCUUAAAAGUUCGGGGCUUAACCCCGUGAUGGGAUGGAAACUGCUGAUCUAGAGUAUCGGAGAGGAAAGUGGAAUUCCUAGUGUAGCGGUGAAAUGCGUAGAUAUUAGGAAGAACACCAGUGGCGAAGGCGACUUUCUGGACGAAAACUGACGCUGAGGCGCGAAAGCCAGGGGAGCGAACGGGAUUAGAUACCCGUGUAGUC
This 465-nucleotide ribosomal RNA is filed under the name uncultured Veillonella sp. RNAcentral's name for it is "bacterial SSU rRNA". It matches the Rfam family "Bacterial small subunit ribosomal RNA", at positions 338 to 795 of the family's 1533-position model. Lineage: Bacteria; Bacillati; Bacillota; Negativicutes; Veillonellales; Veillonellaceae. The record is from RNAcentral.